Molecule: ribosomal RNA, 576 nt
Filed under: Usnea sp. Maf-Lich15654
Lineage: Eukaryota; Fungi; Ascomycota; Lecanoromycetes; Lecanorales; Parmeliaceae
Description: eukaryotic LSU rRNA
Rfam family: Eukaryotic large subunit ribosomal RNA
Source: RNAcentral
AGUGAUCGAAAGAUGAAAAGCACUUUGGAAAGAGAGUCAAAAGUACGUGAAAUUGUUGAAAGGGAAGCGCUUGCAACCAGACCUGUCCGUAGGUGAUCAGCCGCUGUUUUCAGCGGUGCACUCCUCUGCGAUCAGGCCAGCAUCGGUUUCGGCGGCCGGAUAAAGGCCCUGGGAAUGUAGCUCCUUCGGGGAGUCUUAUAGCCCUCGGUGCAAUGCGGCCAGCCGGGACCGAGGACCGCGCUUCGGCUAGGAUGCUGGCGUAAUGGUUGUAAGCGACCCGUCUUGAAACACGGACCAAGGAGUCUAACAUCUAUGCGAGUGUUUGGGUGUUAAACCCAUGCGCGGAAUGAAAGUGAACGGAGGUGAGAACCCUUUAGGGCGCAUCAUCGACCGAUCCAGAUGUCUUCGGAUGGAUUUGAGUAUGAGCAUAGCUGUUGGGACCCGAAAGAUGGUGAACUAUCUUGAAUAGGGUGAAGCCAGAGGAAACUCUGGUGGAGGCUCGCAGCGGUUCUGACGUGCAAAUCGAUCGUCAAAUUUGGUAUAGGGGCGAAAGACUAAUCGAACCAUAGUAGCUGG